This is a non-coding RNA of Brachypodium distachyon (stiff brome), 136 nucleotides long. NCBI's taxonomy places the organism in Eukaryota, Viridiplantae, Streptophyta, Magnoliopsida, Poales, Poaceae. The record is from Rfam.
CGUGUAUUCCCUCCGAUCCAAACUAAUUGUCACAGCUUUGUCUAGAUAUGCAUGUAUCUAGACACGUUUUAGUUUGUAGGUACAUGUGUAUCUAGACAAAGCUGCGACAAUUAAUUUGGAUCGGAGGGAGCAGUUC